RNAcentral lists this unclassified non-coding RNA (381 nucleotides) under uncultured bacterium. RNAcentral describes it as "contains 16S-23S intergenic spacer region". The record is from RNAcentral.
UCCUAGUUUCCUAGGCAGUCUCGUCAGAGUGCCCCUUUCGGGUAGCAACUGACAACAGGAGUUGCGCUCGUUAAAGGACUUAACCCAACAUCUCACGACACGAGCUGACGACAGCCAUGCAGCACCUGUGCAUCCGUUCAAGCUUUCGCUUGAAAAAUCAUAUUUCUAUGACGGUCAAAUGCAUGUCAAGUCUGGGUAAGGUUCCUCGCGUAGUAUCGAAUUAAACCACAUGUUCCACCGCUUGUGCGGACCCCCGUCAAUUCCUUUGAGUUUUAAUCUUGCGACCGUACUCCCCAGGCGGAUCACUUAUCGCGUUAGCUGCAACACCCAUCGCGCAAGCGCGACGAACGUCUAGUGAUCAUCGUUUACAGCACGGACUAC